UACGAAGGGGGCUAGCGUUGUUCGGAAUUACUGGGCGUAAAGGGCGCGUAGGCGGUGUGUCAAGUCAGGCGUGAAAGCCCCGGGCUCAACCUGGGAACCGCGCUUGAGACUGGCACGCUAGAGUUCGGGAGAGGAUGGUGGAAUUCCCAGUGUAGAGGUGAAAUUCGUAGAUAUUGGGAAGAACACCGAUGGCGAAGGCAGCCAUCUGGACCGACACUGACGCUGAGGCGCGAAAAGCGUG
Molecule: ribosomal RNA, 241 nt
Filed under: uncultured bacterium
Lineage: Bacteria
Description: partial 16S ribosomal RNA
Rfam family: Bacterial small subunit ribosomal RNA
Source: RNAcentral